GGCGCUGUAUGCAAACUGGCAAAGCAGCGAAGCUCAGAACUUCGUGUUUGUGGGUUCGACUCCCACUGGCGCCAC
RNAcentral lists this transfer RNA (75 nucleotides) under Mariniblastus fucicola. Its description in RNAcentral is "tRNA-Ser". It matches the Rfam family "tRNA". Rfam says of the family: Transfer RNA (tRNA) molecules are approximately 80 nucleotides in length. Their secondary structure includes four short double-helical elements and three loops (D, anti-codon, and T loops). Further hydrogen bonds mediate the characteristic L-shaped molecular structure. tRNAs have two regions of fundamental functional importance: the anti-codon, which is responsible for specific mRNA codon recognition, and the 3' end, to which the tRNAs corresponding amino acid is attached (by aminoacyl-tRNA synthetases). tRNAs cope with the degeneracy of the genetic code in two manners: having more than one tRNA (with a specific anti-codon) for a particular amino acid; and 'wobble' base-pairing, i.e. permitting non-standard base-pairing at the 3rd anti-codon position. Lineage: Bacteria; Pseudomonadati; Planctomycetota; Planctomycetia; Pirellulales; Pirellulaceae. The record is from RNAcentral.